UGAGGAACAUGACCUUCGGCGGGGGAUAGCCGGCCCAACGGCCGGGUAAUACCGCGUACGACCACAUGGGGACAUCCCUGAGUGGUGAAAGCAGCAAUGCGCCGAUGGAGUGCCUCGCGGCCUAUCAGCUAGUUGGUGAGGUAACGGCUCACCAAGGCAACGACGGGUAGCUGGUCUGAGAGGAUGGCCAGCCACAGUUUGGGGACUGAGACCACCGGCCCAGACCU
RNAcentral lists this ribosomal RNA (227 nucleotides) under uncultured bacterium. RNAcentral's name for it is "partial 16S ribosomal RNA". It matches the Rfam family "Bacterial small subunit ribosomal RNA", at positions 118 to 338 of the family's 1533-position model. The record is from RNAcentral.